UACGGAGGGUGCGAGCGUUGUUCGGAAUUACUGGGCGUAAAGCGCGUGCAGGCGGCCGACUAAGUCAGGUGGGAAAGUCAAAGGCUCAACCUUUGAAAGCCGAUGGAUACUGCAGGGCUAGAGUCCGGAAGAGGCGAGUGGAAUUCCUGGUGUAGCGGUGAAAUGCGCAGAUAUCAGGAAGAACCCCCGUGGCGAAGGCGGCUCUCUGGGACGGUACUGACGCUGAGGCGCGAAAGCCAGGGGAGCAAACGGG
Molecule: ribosomal RNA, 253 nt
Filed under: uncultured bacterium
Lineage: Bacteria
Description: partial 16S ribosomal RNA
Rfam family: Bacterial small subunit ribosomal RNA
Source: RNAcentral